This 495-nucleotide ribosomal RNA is filed under the name uncultured bacterium. RNAcentral describes it as "partial 16S ribosomal RNA". It matches the Rfam family "Bacterial small subunit ribosomal RNA", at positions 28 to 507 of the family's 1533-position model. The record is from RNAcentral.
GACGAACGCUGGCGGCGUGCCUAAUACAUGCAAGUAGAACGCUGAAGGAGGAGCUUGCUCUUCUGGAUGAGUUGCGAACGGGUGAGUAACGCGUAGGUAACCUGCCUGGUAGCGGGGGAUAACUAUUGGAAACGAUAGCUAAUACCGCAUAAUAGUAGAUGUUGCAUGAUAUUUACUUAAAAGGUGCAAUUGCACCACUACCAGAUGGACCUGCGUUGUAUUAGCUAGUUGGUGGGGUAACGGCUCACCAAGGCGACGAUACAUAGCCGACCUGAGAGGGUGAUCGGCCACACUGGGACUGAGACACGGCCCAGACUCCUACGGGAGGCAGCAGUAGGGAAUCUUCGGCAAUGGACGAAGGUCUGACCGAGCAACGCCGCGUGAGUGAAGAAGGUUUUCGGAUCGUAAAGCUCUGUUGUAAGAGAAGAACGAGUGUGAGAGUGGAAAGUUCACACUGUGACGGUAUCUUACCAGAAAGGGACGGCUAACUACGUG